RNA transcript from Myiozetetes cayanensis, 3129 nucleotides. It is a transcript of the gene named dipeptidyl peptidase 4, with no coding region annotated. The transcript is spliced from 27 exons. NCBI's taxonomy places the organism in Eukaryota, Metazoa, Chordata, Aves, Passeriformes, Tyrannidae. The record is from RefSeq and is a predicted model, not a curated record.
GAGGAACCGCCGCUCAGACCUCAAAGACAGCAGGAAAGCCGGGAUCUUGCACAACCCCCGGUGUCUGCCGCUCCCCAGGCAGCCACCCGCAGCCCCCGCCCAGGCGCCGCUCCCGAGCAGAGCCGCGGGCAGCGCCGGGGCUGCAGAGCCGCAGCCCGCCGGCCCCGCUCCCACCGCGCCCGCCCCGCUCCGCACGAUGCCGAGCUUCCUGAAGUGGCUGCUGGUGACCGUGGGGGUCGCCGUGGCGGUCGUGGCGAUCACCGUGCCCCUGGUGCUGCUCACCGGCAAAAGUCCCUCGAAGUCUGAUUCACGAAAAACGUACACUCUACAGAAUUACUUGAACAAUGACUAUUCAUACAAACCCCAUAAUUUGCAGUGGAUUUCAGGAAAUCAGUAUCUCCAUGAAACAAAUAAUGGGAACAUCCUGCUUAUCAGUGCUGACAGUGGAACAUCCUCAGUAAUCUUGGCGAAUACAACAUUAGAUCAGUACAAGGCAAGCACAGCUAUAUUGUCUCCUGACCAAAAGUUUGCUCUUCUGCGGUACAACUACAGAAAGUUGUGGAGGCAUUCCUUUACAGCUUCAUAUCACAUCUAUAAUUUCAGUAGCAGCUCUAUCUUAGAUGAUGGACUACUACCUAAUGAUACACAAUAUAUAUCCUGGUCACCUGUUGGUCACAAACUGGCAUAUGUUUGGAAAAAUAAUGUUUAUGUAAAAGUUUCACCAACAGCAGAAUCUGAGGCAAUCACUCAAAAUGGAGAAGAAAAUAAAAUUUUCAAUGGAAUACCAGAUUGGGUUUAUGAAGAGGAAAUGUUUGGCACCAAUUCUGCUCUUUGGUGGUCUCCAAAUGGCAAUUUUUUGGCAUAUGCUGUCUUUGAUGAUACAGAAGUUCCUGUUAUAGAGUAUUCCUUUUAUUCUGAGGACACCUUGCAGUAUCCAAAGACCAUUAGAAUCCCGUAUCCCAAGGCAGGAACUACAAAUCCAAUUGUGCGAUUCUUUAUUGUGGAUACCAGGUCAUUACCAAAUCCAAUCCCUGUUGAAAUUCCUCCACCUACAGAAAUAAAAUCAGGGGACCAUUAUUUGAGUGCUGUAACAUGGGUGACAGAUGAAAGGAUUUGUCUGCAGUGGCUCAGAAGAAUUCAGAAUUUUUCAGUCCUUACAGUCUGUGACUUUGAAGAUGGUAAUUGGUCAUGUCCACAGGGAAAACAACUUACGGAAGAAAGCACAACUGGCUGGAUUGGCAGAUUUCAGCCAUCUGUCCCUUACUUUGCACCCGACAAUGCUACCUACUACAAAGUCCUCAGCAACGCAGUAGGUUACAAGCACAUCCAUUACAUAAACGGCUCGCAGGCUCCAGUACCUAUUACUUCAGGGAGGUGGGAAGUAAUCAGCAUACAAGCUGUAACAAAAGACUUCUUAUACUACAUUAGUAAUGAAAAUGGUGGAAAGCCAGGAGGAAGAAAUCUCUAUAAAGUGCUCUUGGAAGGGAGUCCAAGUUCUACUAAAUGUGUUAGCUGUGAUCUGAAUCAAGAAAGAUGCCAGUAUUAUUCUGUGUCCUUCAGCAAAGACGCACGGUAUUAUCAGCUAAAUUGUCUUGGUCCUGGCCUGCCCAUGUCUACUCUGCACAGAAGCACUGAUGAUCAAGUCCUCAGAUACUUGAAAAAUAACACUGAACUGGAAAAUGCAUUGAAAGAUAUUCAGAUGCCUUCAAAAAAAUUUGGCUCCCUUAGUGUAGGUGGAUACAACCUGUGGUAUGAAAUGUUACUGCCUCCCCAUUUCGAUUCAUCAAAGAAGUACCCUCUGCUCCUUGAUGUAUAUGCAGGGCCUUGUAGUCAGAAAGUAGACUAUACCUUUGAGCUCAGCUGGGCUACUUACCUUGCAAGCACCGAGCAGAUCAUUGUGGCCAGCUUUGACGGCAGAGGAAGUGGAUACCAAGGCGAUGAAAUUAUGCAUGCAAUAAACCGAAGGCUGGGAACAUAUGAAGUGGAAGAUCAGAUAGCGGCAGCCAGAAAAUUUUCAGAAAUGAGCUUUGUUGAUAAGGACAGAAUAGCUAUUUGGGGUUGGUCUUAUGGGGGAUAUGUGACCUCCAUGGUGCUUGGCUCUGGAAGCGGCGUGUUCAAGUGUGGAAUAGCGGUUGCCCCCGUGUCACAUUGGCAAUAUUAUGAUUCAAUAUACACAGAGAGGUACAUGGGCCUUCCUACAGCAAGUGAUAAUCUGCAAAACUAUCAUAAUUCAACUGUAAUGGCCAGAGCUGAAAAAUUCAAGGAAGUUGAAUAUCUCCUUAUUCAUGGAACAGCAGAUGAUAAUGUUCACUUUCAGCAAGCAGCACAGAUUUCCAAAGCUCUUGUUGAUGCCGAAGUGGAUUUUCAGGCAAUGUACUCCGCAGGAGAGCAUUAACAGCAUGCCAAUGACUUUUCCUGGGUCAAACUCAUGUCUUCACCAGGGCAAAGGAACAGUACUGGCACACAAUGUAUCACAUGCUGCUGAGGUGAAGAGGAAGAUGCAGCGUCACAAUCUCCUGAAUAUUAAAACAAUCCUUCAAGCUGUCAAUUAGCAGGUUUCACUGGUGAGAGAACAGCUUACAGCCAGACUGGCCAUCACCUCCCCUGUCCUGCUGUGUAUACCAGCACUGCAGCUGAAUCUUUAGUUUCAUACAAGUAGGAACAAUAUUUAAGUAUCAAGAGGCAGCAAGGUAAAAGAAAAGUCUAUUGCCCAACUACACUGCACUAAGGCAAUUGCUGAGAACUGAUAACACUGACACCACACCAUACUGGAAGAGAGAAAAUAAGUAUUUGUGUCAAAUGCUUCAAUCUGGUGUGUGUAUAUUACAGACACUGUGAUACCCAUAGCCUCACAUACCAGGACAUACUAUGGCUUACUGAGGUAAGAAAGAAAUGCUAGAGCUGCACAACCCAGAAACUUCAACUGCAAAUAGCUGUAAGCAUUCAUAAUGUAUGGUACAUGACUAUUUCCAACUUCUCCUUCAUGCUGUACAGAAACAAGAAACAUAAUAAAGUUUAACAGAGGUCUGACCUUUGUAACUGAUAGAAAAAGGAGCUUGCAAUAAAGAAAUUGUGAAAACUCAAAUCCCUCUUGCCCUAUCCCCCUCUCUACAAACUACCAUGGAUCAU